This is a long non-coding RNA of Pyrus x bretschneideri (Chinese white pear), 1890 nucleotides long. RefSeq lists it as uncharacterized. The record is from RefSeq and is a predicted model, not a curated record. The transcript has 4 exons. Lineage: Eukaryota; Viridiplantae; Streptophyta; Magnoliopsida; Rosales; Rosaceae.
UUAUCAUAUUGUUUAUCGGGGAUAAGUGUCUUUUUUUCUUUUUUUUCUUUUUUUUGGUUAACAUCGGGGAUAAGUGUUUGUCUCCCAAAAUGUUCACUUAUAAUUACUUUUUUAAUUUCUUUAAUUUGUUGCUAACUUUUUAGUUUCUUUAAUUCGUUGAAUACUUUUUUUUUUUUUUUUGGUAAACUAAUUUGUUGAAUACUUAUGCUACAAAAAAAUGAUCUAGAAAUCGGGUUAACUAUAGCAAUCGUCCUUGAAUUUUAUCCCUUAUUUAAUUUUAGUGUCUGAACUCUCAUAUUAGUUUCUUUAGUUCUCAAAAUUGUCUCAUUGUUCUUUUUCACUAGCGCUGUUUAUUUUUUUGUUAAAUCUAGGGGUAUAUAAGGAGCUUCAUCCCAAAUCACCAAAAAUAAAUUUUAAAAAUGAAUUAUAAGAAAGAAAAGAAAAACUAUAAAAAAAAAAAAAUCAGUUUUUAUGUUGGUGAGAAAAUUGAAUAUACCCCUAGAUUUAAGGUUUUACUAGGCUUUCUGCACAUGCACACAUGCAUGCGAGAGGCAUUUUUGCAUCACGGGCGCUACGCGCCCCAAAUAUGUGUUGUUUUAGAUAUUCUUAUAUUUCUUAAGUGAUUAUUUUAUAAAUUGUGGGUGUGUGUCCAUCACAACAAUUUCUUAUUAUUUUCAAUCAUCUAAUUUAGUCUUUUUGCACCUGCCCAUUGUACAGAAAAAAAUGAAAUUUAUGAAUUGCACACUAACCAUUCCACAUUUUUUUUGCUUGCUGAUUAUUAUGGUGUCAUUUUUUUUGUUUGGCUGAUAGAAUUUCGUUUCACGAACUGAACUAUGCCUGGUCAUUAUUAUCACUUUGGUAAUUACUGAUUAACAAAAAAAAUUAAGUUAAUCAGAGUAGUUGGAAUUCUCAUAUAUCCAUCAGUAUCGUUUUACCCCAAUAUAUUGUACAAGAAGGAAACCAAGAGUUAGGUUCCUUAAAAUCAAGAGUUGGGUUCCUUAGUCAAUAAGGGAUUAAAAAUGGUGGAUUUCAUUUUUGUUUACUAUGAUAAUGGUGUUAUCGUUACCUAUUGAUAAAAUUCCAAAUAGACGUGUCUCUAUUUUUCCUCAUAGUUGGGAGAUAUCUGUCGGAGUAAAAAUUACUGAUCUAAGCCAACUGAUUCUUAAAGAGUAGAAAAAGAAGAAGCAUGAGCAGUAUGUAUUCUAAAUUCUUUAUUAAAUUUGUUACAAGAAAUUCUAACAUUAUAUAUACCUUCAAUAUAUAGGUGGCGCAUGAAAAAGGCUACAGAAAAAUUAAAACCUUCAACAACUCCUCACAUCAUACGUAUUUGGAAUAAAGUCCAACAAAUUAGGAAAAAGAUUAAUAGUGACCAAACAACUUUUCUAAAUACGGUAAGUCUUCUCUUAUUUUUAUACGGAAGUAUACUAUAAAUUCAAAUUGCAUUUAAUUUUCAAAUAGAAUAAAAUUGCAAUUUUUGUCAAUUUUACAAGCAUCACACCGGUCUCAAAGUACAAAGGUUGAAGUACAAGAUUAAGUAUUCUAAAAGUAACUGGAGUAAAAGUAUUGCCAUGAGAAAAUUGUCAAAGUUAAAGAUUAACCAUGAAAAUCUAAAGCAUCAAGUGCAAGCAAAUGGGUGGCAAGCAUGGCUUUGAUUUCACACGUAAACGCUAUGUUUACAUAUGUACAUGUUGUCCAUAUUUUGAUUUGCUUCAUAUAUUAGGAGUUCAUCCCUACUAGCCUAAAACUUUGACUGAAAACUUAUGAAUCUGAAAAUUUUGAUUUAAGGGCAUUAAAUGUUAUCAACAUGUAUUUAGGAAUGAAAUUACAUGUCGUAUUUUCAUAUUUUUUUAAUAGUUUAUGUUUUCCCAUUUUAUCUUCAUUGUUGUUUUA